CAGAGAAAGAGAAAGGGAUUUAGCUUAGCAGCAAGGAAAGAAAAAAUAAUGUGAACACAGGAAAAUACCACAGGAGGAGCCCAAAUGAAAGCCAGGAGAAGACCCCACCAACUCUCAUUUGAAGUUACUCAGAAGAAAAAAAGAGAUACGAUAAUCCCUGCUAAAAAUCGCUGUUGUAAAAGGAGUACUAGGCUUUUGCCAGAAGAAAAGAAAAGGGUUCCUGCAAGAAGCAGCAUCCAUUACCUCUCAUCGGGGAACAGCCUGCACUUCUGGUCUGAUGUACCACAUGGGGAACAGCCCAUCUCAGCAAAAACUGGACACUGGGUUUUAAGCAGCAAAGCCGUCUGAAACACAAAGCCAUCAUCAUGUUUUAAAGUGCUUACUGUCAGUUA
Molecule: long non-coding RNA, 392 nt
Organism: Microcebus murinus (gray mouse lemur)
Lineage: Eukaryota; Metazoa; Chordata; Mammalia; Primates; Cheirogaleidae
Source: RefSeq, a predicted model, not a curated record